RNAcentral lists this ribosomal RNA (703 nucleotides) under Triticum aestivum (bread wheat). RNAcentral describes it as "partial small subunit ribosomal RNA". The record is from RNAcentral. Lineage: Eukaryota; Viridiplantae; Streptophyta; Magnoliopsida; Poales; Poaceae.
GAACUUUGGGUGCAUGUUUUAUAGCAACGUAGAGGGUUGAAAAGAGGGCUUCGCAAUCGGGACAAGCCGGGGAACCAGAAAGCGGAGAAGGAGGUGGAAGGUGGGUACCAAGGGAAGUAGAGGGGGGUUAGUUAUUUAGAGAUGACGUCAGGAAGAUCAAGAAGGGAAGAAGGGAGAUAAAUACCUAGGGAGGUAGAACGAAAACAACGGCUGGAUUUGGCGUUCUACGUCGUACCAGCGGCCGUACCUAUUCGAACCGGGUUCGCAUCUGGAGCGGGAAAUGGGUUGGAGGUACUUGGUACGCACGGUGGGGACCGCAGGAGGGGUCGUAGUGUACACGUGGUCUCUACUCUUCCCGCUCUCGCUGCCGACGUUCUAAAUGAAAGCGCCACGACUUCCUCUAGGUCUAGGGUUAGGUUCAUCACGGAAUCAGCGGGUUCCAUGCUCGUCCUUCUACUCCAGCGGAGUAACAAAGAAACAGAUCUAGAGGUGCAGGCACAUCAAAAGGACCUCCGGACCUAUAACGCACUACACGUCCUGUUAAUCACUACGUAUACACGAAACGCAAGGACCACACACACAUAUUGACGUAUACGUGUAAUAAAAAAAGUAAUAAAACGCUAAAGAAAAGCUCUGAAAUCACUAACCAAACACCGGAUUCGAAUACAUGUAUAAGAUUUCACAUACCUACACAACGACGGUC